Molecule: ribosomal RNA, 484 nt
Filed under: uncultured bacterium
Lineage: Bacteria
Description: partial 16S ribosomal RNA
Rfam family: Bacterial small subunit ribosomal RNA
Source: RNAcentral
AUUGAACGCUGGCGGCAGGCCUAACACAUGCAAGUCGAGCGGAUGAAGGGAGCUUGCUCCUGGAUUCAGCGGCGGACGGGUGAGUAAUGCCUAGGAAUCUGCCUGGUAGUGGGGGAUAACGUCCGGAAACGGGCGCUAAUACCGCAUACGUCCUGAGGGAGAAAGUGGGGGAUCUUCGGACCUCACGCUAUCAGAUGAGCCUAGGUCGGAUUAGCUAGUUGGUGGGGUAAAGGCCUACCAAGGCGACGAUCCGUAACUGGUCUGAGAGGAUGAUCAGUCACACUGGAACUGAGAGACGCUGCAGACUCCUACGGGAGGCAGCAGUGGGGAAUAUUUGACAAUGUGCGAAAGCCUGAUCCAGCCACGCGGCGUGUGUGAAGAAGGUCUUCGGAUUGUAAAGCACUUUAAGUUGGGAGGAAGGGCAGUAAGUUAAUACCUUGCUGUUUUGACGUUACCAACAGAAUAAGCACCGGCUAACUUCGUG